Hibiscus syriacus is the source of this 125-nucleotide long non-coding RNA. RefSeq lists it as uncharacterized. NCBI's taxonomy places the organism in Eukaryota, Viridiplantae, Streptophyta, Magnoliopsida, Malvales, Malvaceae. The transcript has 3 exons. The record is from RefSeq and is a predicted model, not a curated record.
AAAUGGAAAAUUGUAUCUCGGUUUCCCUGCUUCCAUGAAGAUCUAGGGUUUCCAAUUGUUUCCCAGCUAAAAAUCGAAUUACCUUGUUCACAUUUUCAAUUACUUACAAUAAGUAAGUUUCUGAG